Anaerostipes sp. 992a is the source of this 170-nucleotide non-coding RNA. The record is from Rfam. NCBI's taxonomy places the organism in Bacteria, Bacillati, Bacillota, Clostridia, Lachnospirales, Lachnospiraceae.
UCCAUCGUGAGGUGGAAUCUGAAGGAAGCUGUAAGCAAACUCUUGGUCCGACGGACAGAAAUCACAUAUAAGGCUCGGAAAUACGGAUAAGUCUGCAAAAGGAGAUGAAGUCCAAAAGUUGCUGGAAGUACGAGUAAAUGUGGCGGAUAGAUGAGAGGAAAGAGCGUGCA